This 497-nucleotide ribosomal RNA is filed under the name uncultured bacterium. Its description in RNAcentral is "partial 16S ribosomal RNA". It matches the Rfam family "Bacterial small subunit ribosomal RNA", at positions 28 to 507 of the family's 1533-position model. The record is from RNAcentral.
GAUGAACGCUGGCGGCGUGCCUAAUACAUGCCAGUCGAGCGAACAGACGAGGAGCUUGCUCCUCUGACGUUAGCGGCGGACGGGUGAGUAACACGUGGAUAACCUACCUAUAAGACUGGGAUAACUUCGGGAAACCGGAGCUAAUACCGGAUAAUAUAUUGAACCGCAUGGUUCAAUAGUGAAAGACGGUUUUGCUGUCACUUAUAGAUGGAUCCGCGCCGCAUUAGCUAGUUGGUAAGGUAACGGCUUACCAAGGCAACGAUGCGUAGCCGACCUGAGAGGGUGAUCGGCCACACUGGAACUGAGACACGGUCCAGCCUCCUACGGGAGGCAGAAGUAGGGAAUCUUCCGCAAUGGGCGAAAGCCUGACGGAGCAACGCCGCGUGAGUGAUGAAGGUCUUCGGAUCUUAAAACUCUGUUAUGAGGGAAAAACAAAUGGGUAAGUAACAAUGCACGUCUGGACGGUACCUAAUCAGAAAGCCACGGCUAACUACGUG